CGGUGAGGUAGAGGCGCAGUAUUUAUUAGUUCUUAGUGGAGUUAGAGAAAGCGAUGAGUCUAAGAAGAAGGAAAUAUUGCCGAAGUGUGUAACAAGUUUCUCAUUGUUGCAUGCUGGGUCUGCAGUGAAUAACUGCAGGACUGUCUCAAUAAAUUUCUAUGGUUUAUUGAGUUGUGCUAUCUCAAAU
This 187-nucleotide non-coding RNA is filed under the name Rummeliibacillus stabekisii. RNAcentral describes it as "Lysine sequence". It matches the Rfam family "Lysine riboswitch aptamer". From Rfam's summary of the family: Riboswitches are metabolite binding domains within certain messenger RNAs that serve as precision sensors for their corresponding targets. Lineage: Bacteria; Bacillati; Bacillota; Bacilli; Caryophanales; Caryophanaceae. The record is from Rfam by way of RNAcentral.